Molecule: long non-coding RNA, 235 nt
Filed under: Elaeis guineensis (African oil palm)
Lineage: Eukaryota; Viridiplantae; Streptophyta; Magnoliopsida; Arecales; Arecaceae
Description: long non-coding RNA (EGUI_LNC055128)
Source: RNAcentral
UUUCCUCAAUCUUCACAUCCAUAUUCAAUAGAAUACAUCUAAUUGAACCUCUGGAUGUGACCAACCAGAUUGCCUCCCUCCUUUUCUUAUGAAUGUAAUCUCUGUAUGCCUUUGGGCCAAAGAUGAUUAUAAUUUUUUAAUAAAAAAAAUUUUGUGAUAUCAAUAUGAAUGGUAUUAUAAUUAUAUGGGGAUAAUUAAAAAAAUGAUCACAGCCUAUUAAUAUAAUGCACAUAUC